AUGACUGCCCCCGUCCCCUAUGAUAUUCUGAUGACUGGCUUGGGGAUGAGUUUGCUUCGCCAUCCUGAUCCUUGUUCAUUGCUUCAAGUGAUUCACUAUCUAUUCCCCAAACCCACUAGGGUGUUACUACUCAGGACACCAGCUUUUGCAGAACUGCAUCUCAAACCCCAGCUUUCACUCUUCUUCCCACAUCUCACCUUCUCAACUCUUCAUUUGCUUUCCCUGCCCUUUGGUAUGCAGGCCCUUGCAAGAAGCACAGGUUGCAUACGUCGGGAAAAUGUAUGCACUUAAUUGUCACGGGUCAAGAAACUUAGCUGAUGGAGGUGAGAUGAUGAAGUGCUCUAAGAAGAUCACUCAGAAGAAAAGGAUGUGGACUAAUAUGAAAAGGAAGAUUUCCUACCUAGGAAACAGGAGAUCAGAGGAUAGAACAAGAAUCAGAGAACAGGUAAGCAGCCAGUCAAAAGUGGGGAGCAGUGUGUUCCCAUUACAAUGUCAAAGGAUGAUCUAUCUGAUAAUCUAUGUGGC
RNAcentral lists this long non-coding RNA (525 nucleotides) under Piliocolobus tephrosceles (Ugandan red Colobus). Its description in RNAcentral is "lncRNA (ENSPTEG00000020287.1)". Lineage: Eukaryota; Metazoa; Chordata; Mammalia; Primates; Cercopithecidae. The record is from RNAcentral.